Molecule: ribosomal RNA, 497 nt
Filed under: uncultured bacterium
Lineage: Bacteria
Description: partial 16S ribosomal RNA
Rfam family: Bacterial small subunit ribosomal RNA
Source: RNAcentral
GAUGAACGCUGGCGGCGUGCCUAAUACAUGCAAGUCGAGCGAACAGACGAGGAGCUUGCUCCUUAGACGUUAGCGGCGGACGGGUGAGUAACACGUGGGUAACCUACCUAUAAGACUGGGAUAACUUCGGGAAACCGGAGCUAAUACCGGAUAAUAUUUCGAACCGCAUGGUUCGAUAGUGAAAGAUGGCUUUGCUAUCGCUUAUAGAUGGACCUGCGCCGUAUUAGCUAGUUGGUAAGGUAACGGCUUACCAAGGCAACGAUACGUAGCCGACCUGAGAGAGUGAUAGGCCACACUGGAGCUGGGACACGGUCCAGGGGCCUACGGGACGCAGCAGUAGGGAAUCUGACGCAAUAGGCGAAAGCCUUACAGAGCAACGGCAAGUCAGUGAUGGAGGUCUUGGGAUCGUAAUACCCUGUUAUUAGGGAAAAACAACUGUGUAAAUAAAUGAGGAGGUCUUGACGGUACCUGAUGAGAAAGCCACGGCUAACUACGUG